AGUCGAGCGGGCGUAGCAUACGGCAGCGGCAGACGGGUGAGUAACGCGUGGGAACAUACCUUUUGGUUCGGAACACACAGGGAAACUUGUGCUAAUACCGGAUAAGCCCUUACGGGGAAAGAUUUAUCGCCGAAAGAUUGGCCCGCGUCUGAUUAGCUAGUUGGUGAGGUAACGGCUCACCAAGGCGACGAUCAGUAGCUGGUCUGAGAGGAUGAUCAGCCACAUUGGGACUGAGACACGGCCCAAACUCCUACGGGAGGCAGCAGUGGGGAAUAUUGGACAAUGGGCGAAAGCCUGAUCCAGCCAUGCCGCGUGAGUGAUGAAGGCCCUAGGGUUGUAAAGCUCUUUUGUGCGGGAAGAUAAUGACUGUACCGCAAGAAUACGCCCUCGGCUUAUUUCGUGCCCGCGCCCGCGGCAAUAC
RNAcentral lists this ribosomal RNA (421 nucleotides) under uncultured bacterium. RNAcentral describes it as "bacterial SSU rRNA". It matches the Rfam family "Bacterial small subunit ribosomal RNA", at positions 60 to 526 of the family's 1533-position model. The record is from RNAcentral.